GAUGAACGCUAGCGAUAGGCUUAACACAUGCAAGUCGAGGGGCAGCAUGGUCUUAGCUUGCUAAGACUGUUGGCGACCGGCGCACGGGUGCGUAACGCGUAUGCAACUUGCCUCACAGAGGGGGAUAACCCGUCGAAAGACGGACUAAUACCGCGUACACUCUAUUUUGGGCAUCCAAGGUAGAGGAAAUGAAAUUCGCUGUGAGAUAGGCAUGCGUCCCAUUAGCUAGUUGGUGAGGUAACGGCUCACCAAGGCGACGAUGGGUAGGGGAACUGAGAGGUUGAACCCCCACACUGGUACUGAGACACGGACCAGACUCCUACGGGAGGCAGCAGUGAGGAAUAUUAGUCAAUGGGCGAGAGCCUGAACCAGCCAAGUCGCGUGAAGGAUGACUGUCUUAUGGAUUGUAAACUUCUUUUGUAGGGGAAUAAAGAGGGGCACGUGUGCCCCAGUGAAUGUACCCUACGAAUAAGCAUCGGCUAACUCCGU
Molecule: ribosomal RNA, 489 nt
Filed under: uncultured bacterium
Lineage: Bacteria
Description: partial 16S ribosomal RNA
Rfam family: Bacterial small subunit ribosomal RNA
Source: RNAcentral